UAGUUAGCCGAGACUUGUUCCUAUGCUACCGUCCUUUUUCUCGUCACAUAGAAAAGGACUUUACGACCCGAAGGCCUUCUUCGUCCACGCGGCGUCGCUGCGUCAGGCUUUCGCCCAUUGCGCAAUAUUCCUC
Molecule: ribosomal RNA, 133 nt
Filed under: uncultured bacterium
Lineage: Bacteria
Description: partial 16S ribosomal RNA
Source: RNAcentral